UUGUCCGGAUUUACUGGGUGUAAAGGGUGCGUAGGCGGCUUUGCAAGUCAGAUGUGAAAUCUAUGGGCUCAACCCAUAAACUGCAUUUGAAACUGUAGAGCUUGAGUGAAGUAGAGGCAGGCGGAAUUCCCCGUGUAGCGGUGAAAUGCGUAGAGAUGGGGAGGAACACCAGUGGCGAAGGCGGCCUGCUGGGCUUUAACUGACGCUGAGGCACGAAAGCGUGGGUAGCAAACAGGAUUAGAUACCCUGGUAGUCCACGCUGUAAACGAUGAUUACUAGGUGUGGGGGGUCUGACCCCUUCCGUGCCGGAGUUAACACAAUAAGUAAUCCACCUGGGGAGUACGGCCGCAAGGUUGAAACUCAAAGGAAUUGACGGGGGCCCGCAC
RNAcentral lists this ribosomal RNA (386 nucleotides) under uncultured bacterium. RNAcentral's name for it is "bacterial SSU rRNA". It matches the Rfam family "Bacterial small subunit ribosomal RNA", at positions 541 to 926 of the family's 1533-position model. The record is from RNAcentral.